This 208-nucleotide ribosomal RNA is filed under the name uncultured eukaryote. RNAcentral describes it as "partial 18S ribosomal RNA". It matches the Rfam family "Eukaryotic small subunit ribosomal RNA", at positions 1299 to 1458 of the family's 1831-position model. The record is from RNAcentral.
UGGUGGAGUGAUUUGUCUGGUUAAUUCCGUUAACGAACGAGACCUCAGCCUGCUAAAUAGUUGCGUGAACCUUCUAAUUGGGUGAAUCGUUGGUUUAACUGUGUCAGCUUGCUGGUGCAGUUACCUGCGUGGAUCCUUGAUGUGUUCAUGAAAAUACUUCUUAGAGGGACUAUUAGUAUCUAGCUAAUGGAAGUUUGAGGCAAUAACA